RNAcentral lists this long non-coding RNA (1007 nucleotides) under Homo sapiens (human). RNAcentral describes it as "non-protein coding KCND3-AS1:3". Lineage: Eukaryota; Metazoa; Chordata; Mammalia; Primates; Hominidae. The record is from RNAcentral.
AGAAGGGCCAAAGAUUAUAGAACCUAGUGUCACCAUGGUCAUUGCUUCUUCCUUCCCCCCAUUCCAGAAACAGAAAAGGAAAAGUCCUGUUGUCAAGACCUCCAAGGACAAGAACCAGUGAAGCCUGGUAACAAACACAUUAUGCUUUGAAGAUCUGCCAGUUAACAGCUGUGUGGUCUCUCUCCGAUUAACAUCUCUCAGCCCUUUUUUCACCUUUAUGAGAUGGGGAUUAUAAUACCACAUCCCUUGUAGGGCCAUUGUGAGGAUUGAAUGAGCUAAUGCAUGCCCACGUGCCCACCUCAUGGUGGGAGCAAGCCAUUGCCUCCCCCUCAGAGGACCCAGUGGAGAGAAGGUUGACAGCUUGGCAUUCUCUUUGGAAUGGCUGUUGACUUCGCACUGCCAUCCACAGAAGAGCUCCAUAACCCCACCCAAGGGCACGGAAUGGCCUUUCCUUAAAGGUGAAGCACAACAUCAUUCUCAAGUGCCUUUGCAAAUGUAUGUGAACAGUCUUUCAAGGCUCAUAUCAAGAAGUCUCCAGUUCACACUCCUGUCCCAAUAUCCAGUGCCCGACAUUGAGCCCCUGGGGCUUUCUGAUCAAGAGUGGGGAGGACAACCAGCCAGAGUGGGCAGCUGAGGUCACCUGGAGUAAUUAAUCCUAAAGUUUACUGGUGCCUGUUCUGCUGGGGAGCAGGAAUCCAAUUACCCACAGUGACAGCAGCUUAGUCCCUGGGGAGAUACUCAUCUGCAGGGCGGCCAACAACCUGUCCACCUGAAAUCUUCCCGAGAAGCAACACCAACCUCCACCCCCUUCACUUUCUCCGCACACCCUAGCCAGGCACAGACCUCAGCUAACCAGGACAUUGCCCAGGCCACACUGCCUGGGUUGUGGUACAAAGGAGUGAAUUCUGGGAGAUUGGACCAGGACAGCUUCUAGAGGUCUCCUAACAAGAACCCAUUUCUCCUGUAGAACGAAGACCAGAACUGGUCAUUUACCCAGGCCGAGCCAG